GCGCGGCGGCUAGAAAUUUAAAUAAGCUGAAUAUAAAUAUUUAAUUUAAUAUGAUGAACUUACCACACCGCCAACGGCAAAGGAAAACAUGGGGGCGUACCCACCUAACAGAAGGAUGUUUCCCAGGAUGCGAAUCCGCCGGCGUCGUUUUGAUCAAAUCUAACUUUAUUCCAUCUAGUUGGCGUGGGGUUUGCCGUACACGUAUACAGCUAGCAAUUCGGUUAUUCGAACCCCAUUCGUCACUUGGUACAGUUAAAAAAGGAAAAUGGUUUCGACCAACCCAUUUUUUGAAUUUGCGGCUACAUACCGUAGAGAGCAUCCAGACCUAAAACUACAACGCGUUAUUGCAUCAAGAGCUGGGGAUGCAUGGAACGCUUUACCGACAUCAGAGAAAAAUCGCUACCGCAAAAUGGCGAGCGAUGAACGAAAUCGGCGUCGGAGAGAUGCUGAUAAAAAACGCCAGGAAAGCCAGGAAGCCAGGUGCCAACGAUGCCGUUAUACCAAAUUAGUAUUUUAUGCACUGCUUUUGUUUUUAUUGGUUUGGAUAUCAUUAUCCUAUGUCUUUUAACAAAAAUUAAUCAGUUUUUUGUCAGAACAUUCCAAAUAAAGGUUCAAAUGUAGAAUGCCAUA
Drosophila sechellia is the source of this 630-nucleotide long non-coding RNA. RefSeq lists it as uncharacterized. The record is from RefSeq and is a predicted model, not a curated record. NCBI's taxonomy places the organism in Eukaryota, Metazoa, Arthropoda, Insecta, Diptera, Drosophilidae. The transcript has 3 exons.